AAAACAAUCAGACAUAUGUGAAAUUUAUAGU
RNAcentral lists this non-coding RNA (31 nucleotides) under Trypanosoma brucei brucei. The record is from RNAcentral. Lineage: Eukaryota; Euglenozoa; Kinetoplastea; Trypanosomatida; Trypanosomatidae.